RNAcentral lists this ribosomal RNA (586 nucleotides) under uncultured bacterium. RNAcentral describes it as "bacterial SSU rRNA". It matches the Rfam family "Bacterial small subunit ribosomal RNA", at positions 338 to 916 of the family's 1533-position model. The record is from RNAcentral.
CCUACGGGAGGCAGCAGUGGGGAAUUUUGGACAAUGGGCGCAAGCCUGAUCCAGCCAUGCCGCGUGCAGGAUGAAGGCCUUCGGGUUGUAAACUGCUUUUGUACGGAACGAAAAGGUUUGGCCUAAUAAGCUGAGCUCAUGACGGUACCGUAAGAAUAAGCACCGGCUAACUACGUGCCAGCAGCCGCGGUAAUACGUAGGGUGCGAGCGUUAAUCGGAAUUACUGGGCGUAAAGCGUGCGCAGGCGGUUAUGUAAGACAGAUGUGAAAUCCCCGGGCUCAACCUGGGAACUGCAUUAGUGACUGCAUAGCUGGAGUACGGCAGAGGGGGAUGGAAUUCCGCGUGUAGCAGUGAAAUGCGUAGAUAUGCGGAGGAACACCGAUGGCGAAGGCAAUCCCCUGGGCCUGUACUGACGCUCAUGCACGAAAGCGUGGGGAGCAAACAGGAUUAGAUGCCCUGGUAGUCCACGCCCUAAACGAUGUCAACUGGUUGUUGGGUCUUCACUGACUCAGUAACGAAGCUAACGCGUGAAGUUGACCGCCUGGGGAGUACGGCCGCGAAGGUUGAAACUCAAAGGAAUUGACGG